Molecule: long non-coding RNA, 292 nt
Filed under: Vigna radiata
Lineage: Eukaryota; Viridiplantae; Streptophyta; Magnoliopsida; Fabales; Fabaceae
Description: long non-coding RNA (VRAD_LNC011570)
Source: RNAcentral
GUUUCUUAAUGGGAAUGAAUGGUGUUGGAGAUAAGGGGAGAAUUCCUACUUUUCAUAUGCCAUGUGUGAGUUGGGUGAUCAAGCGUGGUGUAGGUGAUGAGCCGAAAAAGGGUGAAGUGUGUGAUGGAUCAUGAUGCCUGGUGUGCGUGUUGGGUGAUGGAGAGAAAAGGAGUGCCUCUCGUAAGUCUGUUGGGUGAUCCUCGUGAGGGUGAGGAUGAAAUUGGAUUCCCAAAAUCAAUUCCCUGUAACCAUUUUUCUCAGAACGCACCCUUCCAAAACAUCUCUGCUAACC